UACGGAGGAUCCGAGCGUUAUCCGGAUUUAUUGGGUUUAAAGGGUGCGUAGGCGGACCAAUUAGUCAGUGGUGAAAGUUUGCAGCUCAACUGUAAAAUUGCCAUUGAAACUGUUGGUCUUGAGUGUAAAUGAGGUAGGCGGAAUGUGUUGUGUAGCGGUGAAAUGCUUAGAUAUAACACAGAACACCAAUUGCGAAGGCAGCUUACUGGGAUACAACUGACGCUGAGGCACGAAAGCGUGGGGAUCAAACAGG
This 253-nucleotide ribosomal RNA is filed under the name uncultured bacterium. Its description in RNAcentral is "partial 16S ribosomal RNA". It matches the Rfam family "Bacterial small subunit ribosomal RNA", at positions 524 to 776 of the family's 1533-position model. The record is from RNAcentral.